Molecule: ribosomal RNA, 301 nt
Filed under: uncultured bacterium
Lineage: Bacteria
Description: partial 16S ribosomal RNA
Rfam family: Bacterial small subunit ribosomal RNA
Source: RNAcentral
CAGCAGCCACGGUAAUACGGAGGGAGCUAGCGUUGUUCGGAAUUACUGGGCGUAAAGCGCACGUAGGCGGCUAUUCAAGUCAGGGGUGAAAGCCCGGGGCUCAACCCCGGAACUGCCUUUGAAACUAGAUAGCUUGAAUCUUGGAGAGGCGAGUGGAAUUCCGAGUGUAGAGGUGAAAUUCGUAGAUAUUCGGAAGAACACCAGUGGCGAAGGCGACUCGCUGGACAAGUAUUGACGCUGAGGUGCGAAAGCGUGGGGAGCAAACAGGAUUAGAUACCCGUGUAGUCCCUGUCUCUUAUAC